RNAcentral lists this ribosomal RNA (416 nucleotides) under Salmonella enterica subsp. enterica serovar Typhimurium. RNAcentral's name for it is "bacterial SSU rRNA". It matches the Rfam family "Bacterial small subunit ribosomal RNA", at positions 1117 to 1533 of the family's 1533-position model. RNAcentral also lists the same sequence under 1 other name. Lineage: Bacteria; Pseudomonadati; Pseudomonadota; Gammaproteobacteria; Enterobacterales; Enterobacteriaceae. The record is from RNAcentral.
GCCAGCGAUUAGGUCGGGAACUCAAAGGAGACUGCCAGUGAUAAACUGGAGGAAGGUGGGGAUGACGUCAAGUCAUCAUGGCCCUUACGACCAGGGCUACACACGUGCUACAAUGGCGCAUACAAAGAGAAGCGACCUCGCGAGAGCAAGCGGACCUCAUAAAGUGCGUCGUAGUCCGGAUUGGAGUCUGCAACUCGACUCCAUGAAGUCGGAAUCGCUAGUAAUCGUGGAUCAGAAUGCCACGGUGAAUACGUUCCCGGGCCUUGUACACACCGCCCGUCACACCAUGGGAGUGGGUUGCAAAAGAAGUAGGUAGCUUAACCUUCGGGAGGGCGCUUACCACUUUGUGAUUCAUGACUGGGGUGAAGUCGUAACAAGGUAACCGUAGGGGAACCUGCGGUUGGAUCACCUCCUUA